Molecule: ribosomal RNA, 253 nt
Filed under: uncultured Lachnospiraceae bacterium
Lineage: Bacteria; Bacillati; Bacillota; Clostridia; Lachnospirales; Lachnospiraceae
Description: partial 16S ribosomal RNA
Rfam family: Bacterial small subunit ribosomal RNA
Source: RNAcentral
UACGUAGGGGGCGAGCGUUAUCCGGAUUUACUGGGUGUAAAGGGAGCGUAGACGGUUUUUCAAGUCUGAAGUGAAAGCACGCGGCUCAACUGCGGAACGGCUUUGGAAACUGAGGGACUAGAGUGCUGGAGGGGCAGGCGGAAUUCCUGGUGUAGCGGUGAAAUGCGUAGAUAUCAGGAGGAACUCCGAUUGCGAAGGCAGCUCACUGGACUGCAACUGACACUGAGGCUCGAAAGUGUGGGUAUCAAACAGG